This is an RNA transcript of Phycodurus eques (leafy seadragon), 2733 nucleotides long. It is a transcript of the gene named 6-phosphofructo-2-kinase/fructose-2,6-bisphosphatase 2-like, with no coding region annotated. Lineage: Eukaryota; Metazoa; Chordata; Actinopteri; Syngnathiformes; Syngnathidae. The transcript is spliced from 17 exons. The record is from RefSeq and is a predicted model, not a curated record.
CUCGGCUUGGAAGGGCACCAGCGGAGGGUGGCUCGCUCGGUACCCAAGGACGGUGCGACCGAACCGGCACGCCGAGACCAGCGAGCGGCACCGGCUCCGCGGACGUUCCGUUUACGAGACGUCGCUCAUGGCGAACCGGCGAGCGGCCGCCAAGAAAGCAGACGAGAGGAUGAAUGAGAAGAAAUGCUCGUGGGCGUCCUACAUGACAAAUUCCCCCACCGUGAUCGUGAUGAUCGGGCUGCCCGCCCGAGGGAAGACGUACGUGUCCAAGAAGCUCACGCGCUACCUCAACUGGAUUGGCGUCCCCACCAAAGUCUUCAACCUGGGCGUGUACCGCCGAGAGGCCGUCCGAGCCUACAAGUCCUACGACUUCUUCCGCCACGACAACGAGGAGGCCAUGAAGAUCAGGAAGCAGUGUGCGCUGGUGGCCCUGCAGGAUGUGAAGGUGUACCUGACAGACGAGGCCGGUCAGAUCGCUGUUUUCGACGCAACCAACACGACAAGAGAGCGCCGAGACCUCAUUCAAGCGUUUGCGAAGGAGAACGCGUUCAAGCUGUUCUUUGUGGAGUCGGUGUGUGACGACCCAGAAGUCAUUGCUGCGAAUAUCAUGGAAGUCAAGGUGUCCAGUCCGGACUACCCCGAAAGGCACCGAGAGCGAGUCAUGGAUGACUUCCUGAAACGGAUCGAGUGCUACAAGGUGACUUACCAACCGUUGGAUCCUGAUGAUUAUGACAAGGACCUGUCUUUCAUUAAGGUGAUGAACGUGGGCCGCCGCUUUCUGGUGAACCGGGUACAGGACUACAUCCAGAGCAAGAUCGUCUACUAUCUCAUGAACAUCCACGUGCACUCGCACUCCAUCUACCUGUGUCGCCAUGGCGAGAGCGACCACAACAUCGAGGGCCGCAUCGGAGGGGAUUCAGAACUAUCUCCCCGUGGGAAACAGUUCGCCCGUGCGCUUCGAAAGUUCAUCGAGGAGCACGAACUGUCAGAUUUGAAGGUGUGGACGAGCCAGCUGAGACGCACCAUACAGACAGCGGAGGAGCUGGCCGUCCCCUACGAACAGUGGAAGAUACUCAACGAGAUUGACGCGGGCGUGUGCGAGGAGAUGACCUACGAGAUGAUCCAGAGGGCGUUCCCGGAGGAGUUUGCGUUGAGGGACAAGGACAAAUAUCACUAUCGUUACCCCGGCGGGGAGUCGUACCAGGACCUGGUCCAGCGUCUGGAGCCGGUCAUCAUGGAGCUGGAGAGACAAGGCAACGUGCUGGUGGUCUGCCACCAGGCGGUCAUGCGCUGUCUGCUUGCUUACUUCCUGGACAAAAGUGCAGAAGAUCUUCCCUACAUGAAAUGUCCGCUCCACACCGUCCUCAAGCUCACCCCGGUGGCGUAUGGUUGUAAAGUGGAAAUGUUUUAUCUCAAUGUGGAGGCAGUGAACACGCAUCGCGACCGACCACUUGCCGGAUCUCGUUUGUUGGGGGCCACAACGAGGCUGCCGGUGGGCCGGACGCGGCCCGGGCGGGCGCCCACUGAGUACCCCUGAUGUAAGAGGAUGGGACCAUUCCGUUUUUUUCUGGGAUAGGGUGAAGGAGAACAUAAAUUGCUCACAUAGCCUUGCAUAGGAAGCGUCUGUUUGGCUCCCUGUGCGAAGGAAUCGACUUGGACGACCCCGAAGAAACGAGCGGCUGCGUCCGCUUCUGAGUGAACGUAAAGAAAGACGCUUGCGCAAAAUGUGUAUACUGGUGCCUUGACUCCAAAACAGUAGGCACGCCUGCACAAUCCAACGAAACUAAAGCACAGUUUGAGAAAUCCCUCGCAAGCUGAGAUUCAAACCCAGAACCUUUCAAGUGUGAGGCAGACAUUUUUGCCCUGGCAUGUAUACCCAUAAAUAUACAGAUAUGCCAAAUGAAGCAUUCGAUGAAAACCUCGUGGUCAUACUCACCAAGCACAUCGGCAAUAUCAGUAUUUGUGUCAUAUCUUUGUCUCUGCAUGCUUUUUGCUCAGAAGAUGAUCUCGGUGUUAUAAAUACUUUGUGCAACAUGUUCCAAAGAUAGAAAAGCAUUGGUGUUAAUCCAGCGUGUAACAUUUUAAUCUGCUGAUCAACAUCAUAGCCCUUCAUUGAACUUUUUUUGAAUAGAAUAAAAAUACAGUCAAGGACAAAAAUGAUUGGCCCACCCUUGUUUCUUGGAUUUAUUGCUUGCUUGGUACAACUAAAGGUACAUUUGUUGACAAGAAAAAUAGAUCAUAAGAGUUGAAUUUAAAAGCUGUGGAAUCACUCAGGGGCAUUUUUGUCGUGUCCAUUGUAAUGGUACAAGGCAUUAAAACGAACAAGAAAUUGAAGAAACAAGGGGGGUGGUCUAAUAUUUUCUUCUAUUUCUACAUAUUUACUGAAGAAAGUUCCAAGUAUUCAAAAAAACAUAUUUCCUGUGCCUAAAAUGUAUUAAAUUAGUGUAAUAUAAACUAGUGUUCUUAAUUGUUAUGCCGCAUUUAUUUACUGUGGGCUUGCUAUUUAAUUAAGAAACACUUGUGUUCAUGUCCCCAUUUUUAAAUACAGUUAUCUAUAUAUUCUGACAAUUCUAUGCAGGUUUUUCAUUGAAUGAAAGAAUAAUCGCGAAAGACGGUGUGGUCUGUUGGAAGCAGAUACUCGUGCUUUUGAUAAAAGGGAAUCAAUCUGAAAAUAUUAACUUUACUGUAUUGUCGAACUUGCUUGUACUUGCACGUCUUUUGGUCAUAUUUUGA